RNAcentral lists this long non-coding RNA (421 nucleotides) under Rattus norvegicus (Norway rat). Its description in RNAcentral is "long non-coding RNA NONRATT001492". The record is from RNAcentral. Lineage: Eukaryota; Metazoa; Chordata; Mammalia; Rodentia; Muridae.
GAGCGGGGGAGGGGCGGCAGAGGAAGGGGGGCUCCGAGAGGCCUGGGAUUUCAAACCAGUGGGGGAGGAGCGAGGGCACCCUAGUCGCUGACCGGACCGGGAAGGGCCCUCCGGGGUUGCAGAUGCCGGCCCAGGAGAGCGCCUGGGGACCGGGGACCGGGAACUGGAGAUCUACUCCCCGACCACCAAGCGGAAGUGAGGUUCCCCCCCCUCACCUCGGAGCAUCGGCUCCGGCCGCGGGAUCACGGCCACCACCACGGCCUCCUCGUCGUCGUCGUCCCCUUCCUCACACUUGAGCGUCACCUCGAAGCAAUCCAGCGCCGCGGCGCCUUCGGCUCUCAGGGCCAUGGCGAGGCGAAGAAGGGCGACCCGAUAGCCGAGGACAAGCGCACAGACCUCGGCGCGCCGCCUGUGGCGGCCG